UUUAUGCAUCUGCUGCGCCGCUUCACUCUGACCGGGGCGAUGAUGGCUCUCGCGCUCUGGUCCGGCUACAAACUGUGGGACUACUAUUUCGACGCGCCCUGGACCCGCGACGGUCACGUUCGCGCCGAUGUCGUGCCCAUCGCUCCCGAUGUCUCGGGCUUCGUCACUGACGUCCUUGUCAAGGACAACCAAAAGGUCCGGCGGGGCGAUGUACUCUUCCGGAUAGAUCGGGCGCGCUAUGCCAUUGCGCAGGCCCAGGCGGUAGCCGUGCUGG
RNAcentral lists this unclassified non-coding RNA (274 nucleotides) under Hevea brasiliensis (rubber tree). Lineage: Eukaryota; Viridiplantae; Streptophyta; Magnoliopsida; Malpighiales; Euphorbiaceae. The record is from RNAcentral.